RNAcentral lists this ribosomal RNA (1239 nucleotides) under Rattus norvegicus (Norway rat). RNAcentral describes it as "bacterial SSU rRNA". The stretch from base 335 to 1239 matches the Rfam family "Eukaryotic small subunit ribosomal RNA". The record is from RNAcentral. Lineage: Eukaryota; Metazoa; Chordata; Mammalia; Rodentia; Muridae.
AACAAGGUUCCAAAAAGAGAAGUUAGAGAAAGAACUGAAGUAGUUGAAGGGGUUUGUCACCCCAUAAGAAGAACAAUAUCAACCAACCAAACCCCUGCCCUCGAUCUUCCAUGGACUAAACAACCAUCCCAAGAAUACACAAGGAUGAGCCUAUGGCUCCAUCUGCAUAUGAAGCAGAGGAUUUCCUUUUCAGGCACCAAUGGGAGCAAAUACCCUUGGUCCUGUCAUGGCUUGAUGCCCCAGUGUAGGGAACUGUCAGAAUGGGCAGGUUGGAAGGAGUGAGUGGGUGAGUGGGGAACUGCCCUCAUAGAACAGGAGGCAUGAGGGGAAAUAAUAGCUGGUUUCUAGAGGGCAAAUCAGGAAAGGGGAUAAUAUUUAAAAUGUGAAUUUAAAAAAUCCCCUCCCCCAAUGAGAGAAAAAGAAAGAGAAAUAGAGAAAGAAAAAGAAAAACAAAUGGGUGUACAUAACUAAACAAAAGCAGGCUGGCGAUGUGGAGGCGUUAUUCCCAUGAUAGUCAAGCAGCUUCCGGGAAACCAAAGUCUUAGGGUUCCAGGGGAGUAUGGUUGCAAAGCUGAAACUUAACGGAAUUGAUGGAAGGGCACCACCAGGAGUGGAGCCCGCAGCUUAAUUUGACUCAAGAUGGGAAACCUCACCCAGCCCGGACACAGACAGGAUUGACUGAUAGCUCUUUCUCGAUUCCCUGGGUGGUGGUGCAUGGCCGUUCUUAGUUGGUGGAGCGAUAUAUUUGGUUAAUUCCGAUAACGAACGAGACGCUGGCAUGCUAACUAGUUACACUACCCCCGAGCACUCUGUGUCCCCCAACUCCUUAGAGGGACAAGUGGCAUUCAGCCAUCAAGAUGGAGCAAUAACAGGUCUGUGAUGCCCUUAGAUGUCUGGGGCUGCACGCGUGCCACACUGACUGGCUCAGUGUGUGCCUACCCUACGCCGGCAGGCGUGGGUAACCCAUUGUACCUCAUUUGUGAUGGAGAUCAGGGAUUGCAAUUAUUCCCAAUGAACGAGGAAUUCCCAGUAAGUGCGGGUCAUAAGCUUGCGUCGGUUAAGUCCCUGCCCUUUGUACACACCGCCCUUCCCUACUGCCGAUUGGAUGGUUUAGUGAGGCCCUAGGAUCGGCCCCGCCAGGGUAGGCCCACAGUCAUGGCGGAGCGCUGAGAAGACGGUCGAACUUGACUAUCUAGAGGAAGUAAAAGUCGUAACGAGGUUUCCGUGAACCGGCGGAAG